Molecule: ribosomal RNA, 331 nt
Filed under: uncultured Bacillota bacterium
Lineage: Bacteria; Bacillati; Bacillota
Description: bacterial SSU rRNA
Rfam family: Bacterial small subunit ribosomal RNA
Source: RNAcentral
GACGAACGCUGGCGGCGUGCCUAACACAUGCAAGUCGAACGGAGAUAUUAAUGAAGCUUGCGAUUUAAUAUCUUAGUGGCGGACGGGUGAGUAACGCGUGGGUAAUCUGCCCUUGAGUGGGGGACAACAGUUGGAAACGACUGCUAAUACCGCAUAUGCUGAUUUAUCAGUAAAGGUGGCCUCUGAAUAUGCUGCCGCUUAAGGAUGAGCCCGCGUCUGAUUAGCUAGUUGGUGGGGCAACGGCCUACCAAGGCGACGAUCAGUAGCCGGCCUGAGAGGGUGAACGGCCACACUGGGACUGAGACACGGCCCAGACUCCUACGGGUGGCUG